CUGGAGAUGAUGCAUACACUAUGACAGCUGACUAUCCGUGAAGGUGUUCGUAUUCAUACUGUCUGAUCCAG
Molecule: small nucleolar RNA, 71 nt
Organism: Osmerus eperlanus (European smelt)
Lineage: Eukaryota; Metazoa; Chordata; Actinopteri; Osmeriformes; Osmeridae
Source: RefSeq, a predicted model, not a curated record